CGAAUCGGGUCAGAAUGUCUUAUAAAUAUAGGGGCCCAGUUUUGAUGGGCUUUCAAAUUCAGACGGCCCAAAAGUUCUCUCUUCGACUUUGGCGAGCUCAGGCGUCGUCUAGGGUGUCUAACCUAACGUACUUCGCGUUCAGGUAUUACUGCGAUUAUUGUGACACUUACUGACUUCUCAUUGCUGGAAUUACAGUGAUCCUUGGGCCUAAAUUGACUUGUCAUUGUAAAAAAUUUGGCUUUCUUUUGGUGAAUAAAAAGUUGGUAUCAUGGAGGCUCUUUCGCUUGACAUGGAACAAAUUAUGGAAGUACCUCAGUAAAUGAUGAAUCCUUGAUGGGAGUCAAA
Molecule: long non-coding RNA, 345 nt
Organism: Tripterygium wilfordii
Lineage: Eukaryota; Viridiplantae; Streptophyta; Magnoliopsida; Celastrales; Celastraceae
Exons: 2
Source: RefSeq, a predicted model, not a curated record